This 433-nucleotide ribosomal RNA is filed under the name uncultured bacterium. Its description in RNAcentral is "partial 16S ribosomal RNA". It matches the Rfam family "Bacterial small subunit ribosomal RNA", at positions 29 to 507 of the family's 1533-position model. The record is from RNAcentral.
AGCGAACGCUGGCGGCAGGCCUAACACAUGCAAGUCGAACGAACUCUUCGGAGUUAGUGGCGGACGGGUGAGUAACACGUGGGAACGUGCCUUUAGGUUCGGAAUAACUCAGGGAAACUUGUGCUAAUACCGAAUGUGCCCUUCGGGGGAAAGAUUUAUCGCCUUUAGAGCGGCCCGCGUCUGAUUAGCUAGUUGGUGAGGUAAAGGCUCACCAAGGCGACGAUCAGUAGCUGGUCUGAGAGGAUGAUCAGCCACAUUGGGACUGAGACACGGCCCAAACUCCUACGGGAGGCAGCAGUGGGGAAUCUUGCGCAAUGGGCGAAAGCCUGACGCAGCCAUGCCGCGUGAAUGAUGAAGGUCUUAGGAUUGUAAAAUUCUUUCACCCGGGACGAUAAUGACGGUACCCGGAGAAGAAGCCCCGGCUAACUUCGUG